Molecule: unclassified non-coding RNA, 328 nt
Filed under: Bombus terrestris (buff-tailed bumblebee)
Lineage: Eukaryota; Metazoa; Arthropoda; Insecta; Hymenoptera; Apidae
Description: misc RNA ENSBTSG00005025651.1
Source: RNAcentral
CGCCUGGUGUAUAGUGGCUAUAGCAUAGUCCCGGAGGCGAAAGCGAGACCGUGGGCCCGAGCAAGACGGAAAGAGAAACGGGACCGAGAGAGAAAAGGCAGCCCGGGCACUCGGCUUUCGUUUUCACCCAGCCUACUUGUUAAUCCGCCUUCUCCGCUUCGCUAUACCCGUCGCGAGAACCGUUUCCUCUCGUGUGCGCCGUGCACGGUCACGCUUCCAUCGACGAGCCGAGACUCGAUCGAUGCCACCUCGAAGGGACGCAACCUGUUACGACACAUGACGAAGUGGACCCUUGUCGUCUCAACCAUACCAACGAAGUUUCGUCUCG